UGGGGAAUUUUGGACAAUGGGCGCAAGCCUGAUCCAGCAAUGCCGCGUGCAGGAUGAAGGCCUUCGGGUUGUAAACUGCUUUUGUACGGAACGAAAAGCUUCUGGUUAACACCUGGGAGUCAUGACGGUACCGUAAGAAUAAGCACCGGCUAACUACGUGCCAGCAGCCGCGGUAAUACGUAGGGUGCGAGCGUUAAUCGGAAUUACUGGGCGUAAAGCGUGCGCAGGCGGUUAUGUAAGACAGAGGUGAAAUCCCCGGGCUCAACCUGGGAACUGCCUUUGUGACUGCAUGGCUAGAGUGCGGCAGAGGGGGAUGGAAUUCCGCGUGUAGCAGUGAAAUGCGUAGAUAUGCGGAGGAGCACCGAUGGCGAAGGCAAUCCCCUGGGCCUGCACUGACGCUCAUGCACGAAAGCGAGGGGAGCAAACA
Molecule: ribosomal RNA, 427 nt
Filed under: uncultured bacterium
Lineage: Bacteria
Description: bacterial SSU rRNA
Rfam family: Bacterial small subunit ribosomal RNA
Source: RNAcentral